CUCCAGCUGAGACAGUGCUCUAGCGAUGGUCACAGGUAUAAGCUGUUAGCUAGAGCAAUUUCAGCAGUUGGGAGGUGAGCAUAUCAACCCACAAGGUUGUCUGAGAGGGACAACAACUUCUGCUGUUAGUUUACUUUUGGGUAUAAACGUGAACUUUGAGGAAAGAGUUAAAUUCAAUUAAAAACAAAUUCGUUGAGUGUCUACUAUGUGCAAAACAAUAUGUUGUGGCAAAAGGGGGACGCAAUGUGAAAGAUCUGUUGCCCUCGAGAAGAAACGACCCUGCAUAUCAGCAAGGUAUCUUUUCCUGAAGCCGGUCUUCAUUAACAGGCUUG
This 332-nucleotide long non-coding RNA is filed under the name Homo sapiens (human). Its description in RNAcentral is "long non-coding RNA NONHSAT174638". Lineage: Eukaryota; Metazoa; Chordata; Mammalia; Primates; Hominidae. The record is from RNAcentral.